AGCAGUUCGGGGUAAUAACUACCUCCAUAUGUGGCCCGUGGUGGCAGCGCUUCUUUUGGGUUCUUUUCACUGUGGUUUGGCACAGCUAACCUUUAAAAAUAUUAACUCUGUAAAGGCUAGCAACUGCAGCAGAAUUGUUCUUAUUCCAUGCUAUGUCUCCAACAUAGAGGCACAAGACAUCAAUGAAUUAUUUUUGAAGUGGAAAUUUGGACAAGAUAUAAUUUUUGUCUUUGAUGGGCAUGCAAACAAAUCUACAACUUAUACGUUUCCAAGUGCACAAAUUUUCCCCUCCGAAUUUCUAAAAGGAAAUGCAUCUUUGACGUUGGCUAAGAAUGAAGCUAAAGCAGGAAACUACACAUGUGAAGUGACAGAAUUGAGCAGGGAGGGGAAACACACUGUGGAGCUAAAAUAUAGUGAUGGUUCAUGGUUUACUUUAAGUGAAAAUAUUCCCAUUAUUAUUUUCCCAUUUUUGACUGUACUUCUGUUCUGGGCACAGUUUGGUAUUUUAAUGCAAAAAUAUAAAUCCAACCCUGUGAAUAGGAAAAUUCUUAUUUUAUCUACUUCUGGACUAUUGUUCACCAUAAUUGUCACUGUUGGAGCCGCCCUUUAUAUCCCAGGUAAUUAUUCAAAAAGGAAAGGCUAUGGGCUUAUUUUCUUCAUUAGUCCUUCAGUGAUCCCUGUGUUCCUUCAGUACCAUAAGUUUAAGCCAGCUAUCGGGAGGACCCUCCAGGCUGUGAUCAUGUUCACCAUUGCUCAAGGACUGGGUGCUGUACUCACUCUGGCGGGACUAUAUCUCACUGCAUCUGACUGUGUACCAAAAUACGGCCUCCUUCUAAUUUCAGGUUUGGCCAUAAUAACUCUAGUGGAAUUAUUUGGACUAAUUUAUAUGAAAUGGCUUGACCCAAUGAUAGGGUUUCCAUAAGACACAAAAGUGCAGGCAGCGCUGUCUUUGUUCCCGAGUUUCACACUUUGUCUCACUGGCUCUCAAGGAAUACUAAAUCCAACCAUCUCUAGUCCAGAGCAAGAUGCCAGACGUUCCAAGUGCCACUGGGUCACCUUGCUUUUCUCAUCGCUGAAGCCAGCUGAUUGCUCUCCAAGGAUACUGUUUUGCCCAAGGCAGUGUGGACUUUGACAUUCCUUCAAGUUUCAACUAGAAUAUUGACUAGAGGCUAGUUUGUAGACGUAUUACUUUGUAAAAAGUGUCAACUCCUUGAUUGUAACAGAAAACAAUAAAAACAUUAAAAAUCCA
Molecule: long non-coding RNA, 1249 nt
Filed under: Mus musculus (house mouse)
Lineage: Eukaryota; Metazoa; Chordata; Mammalia; Rodentia; Muridae
Description: RIKEN cDNA 1700026J12 gene, transcript variant 2 (1700026J12Rik)
Source: RNAcentral